Molecule: ribosomal RNA, 478 nt
Filed under: uncultured bacterium
Lineage: Bacteria
Description: partial 16S ribosomal RNA
Rfam family: Bacterial small subunit ribosomal RNA
Source: RNAcentral
GAUGAACGCUAGCGGCAGGCCUAACACAUGCAAGUCUAGGGAGAAGCCCUUUCGGGGGCAGAAACCGGCGCACGGGUGCGUAACGCGUAUGCAACCUACCUUUCACAGGGGGAUAGCCCGAAGAAAUUUGGAUUAAUACCCCAUAAUAUUAUUGGAUGGCAUCAUUUGAUAAUUAAAACUGCGGUGGUGAAAGAUGGGCAUGCGUCCUAUUAGCUAGUUGGAGUGGUAACGGCACCCCAAGGCUACGAUAGGUAGGGGUCCUGAGAGGGAGAUCCCCCACACUGGUACUGAGACAGGGACCAGACUCCUACGGGAGGCAGCAGUGAGGAAUAUUGAUCAAUGGUCGGAAGACUGAACCAGCCAUGCCGCGUGCAGGAAGAAUGCCUUAUGGGUUGUAAACUGCUUUUAUAUGGGAAGAAUAAGGCGUACGUGUACGUUGAUGACGGUACCAUAUGAAUAAGCAUCGGCUAACUCCGUG